RNAcentral lists this ribosomal RNA (253 nucleotides) under uncultured bacterium. RNAcentral's name for it is "partial 16S ribosomal RNA". It matches the Rfam family "Bacterial small subunit ribosomal RNA", at positions 524 to 776 of the family's 1533-position model. The record is from RNAcentral.
UACGGGGGGGGCAAGCGUUGUUCGGAAUUACUGGGCGUAAAGGGUGCGCAGGCGGUUCUGCAAGUCAGGCGUGAAAUCCCCGGGCUUAACCUGGGAAUGGCGCUUGAAACUACGGGACUGGAGUAUGGCAGAGGGAGGUGGAAUUCCACGUGUAGCGGUGAAAUGCGUAGAGAUGUGGAGUAACACCGAUGGCGAAGGCAGCCUCCUGGGCCAAUACUGACGCUCAUGCACGAAAGCGUGGGGAUCAAACAGG